UCCGAGUUGACCCCGGCAGUCUCCCAUGAGUCCCCGCCAUUACGCGCUGGCAACAUGGAACGAGGGUUGCGCUCGUUGCGGGACUUAACCCAACAUCUCACGACACGAGCUGACGACAACCAUGCACCACCUGUGAACCGGCCCCAAAGGGGAAACCACAUCUCUGCGGCGGUCCGGUCCAUGUCAAGCCUUGGUAAGGUGGGGAUGACGUCGAACGGUUGGUU
RNAcentral lists this unclassified non-coding RNA (224 nucleotides) under uncultured Micrococcaceae bacterium. RNAcentral describes it as "contains 16S-23S intergenic spacer region". Lineage: Bacteria; Bacillati; Actinomycetota; Actinomycetes; Micrococcales; Micrococcaceae. The record is from RNAcentral.